AACGAACGCUGGCGGCAGGCCUAACACAUGCAAGUCGAACGCUGUAGCAAUACAGAGUGGCAGACGGGUGAGUAACACGUGGGAAUCUUCCUAUCGGUACGGAAUAGCCCAGGGAAACUUGGGGUAAUACCGCAUACGCCCUUCGGGGGAAAGAUUUAUCGCCGAUAGAUGAGCCCGCGUCUGAUUAGCUAGUUGGUGAGGUAAUGGCUCACCAAGGCGACGAUCAGUAGCUGGUCUGAGAGGAUGACCAGCCACACUGGGACUGAGACACGGCCCAGACUCCUACGGGAGGCAGCAGUGGGGAAUAUUGGACAAUGGGCGCAAGCCUGAUCCAGCCAUGCCGCGUGAGUGACGAAGGUCUUCGGAUUGUAAGGCUCUUUUGGCGGGGACGAUAAUGACGGUACCCGCAGAAUAAGCCCCGGCUAACUUCGUGCCAGCCGCCGCGGUAA
This 449-nucleotide ribosomal RNA is filed under the name uncultured bacterium. Its description in RNAcentral is "partial 16S ribosomal RNA". It matches the Rfam family "Bacterial small subunit ribosomal RNA", at positions 29 to 523 of the family's 1533-position model. The record is from RNAcentral.